Molecule: non-coding RNA, 29 nt
Filed under: Homo sapiens (human)
Lineage: Eukaryota; Metazoa; Chordata; Mammalia; Primates; Hominidae
Source: RNAcentral
UACGUAUCUCGAUUCUUUGCUGUCACCUU